Bison bison bison is the source of this 53-nucleotide microRNA precursor. Lineage: Eukaryota; Metazoa; Chordata; Mammalia; Artiodactyla; Bovidae. The record is from Ensembl.
UGGUAGUAUUCCUAGUGUGGCGAAUAAGUGCCACACUAGGUUAUGCUACAACU